UCUUGAGAGUGUGUCAGGGUAGUGGGGGCUAUUUCAGAGCUAUGGAGAAGAGGAGAGAUGGGCAGCCGUUGGUCAUGCCCACAGGAGUUAGGCCAGCCAAAGGAUGCAGCCCAUCUGUGAGGAGGAGGAUUUGAGUGUUAUGUGAAGAAUGCCCCCCUUCCUUGCUGAGGUCUGAGGGGAGAGUCUUUGCACCAUGUAGCAGAAACAAAGGUUUUAAAUUGAAAAGGACACAAGCAGUUCAAAGGAGAAAGUGAGACAGAAGAACCAGAUUAAAACAAAGGAGGAUAAAGCCAUGGCUAUCAUUAGGCAGACAGCUAAAAUGUGCCUGCUCUUUGCCCCAAGGGCUCACUAAGGAAAAGAGGGUGGAAAUCAGUGAGAAUAAAGACAUCGGGAGCUGACAGAAAUGUCCAAAGGGCAGAAAGAGUAAAGAAGAGAGCUGGAGAGACUAAGUAGAUUGCUGCACUAACAAGGCGUUGGACGAGAAGAUCUCCAAGGUCCCUUCCAACUCUAAUAUUCUAUGAGAAACAUCUGGAAAGUGGAAGUUAAGCAAAGUAGCAGACAGGAAACAAAGACAUCAGCAAGGAAAUGUCCAAAUAAAAUUAUU
Molecule: long non-coding RNA, 604 nt
Organism: Hemicordylus capensis (graceful crag lizard)
Lineage: Eukaryota; Metazoa; Chordata; Lepidosauria; Squamata; Cordylidae
Exons: 5
Source: RefSeq, a predicted model, not a curated record